This 465-nucleotide ribosomal RNA is filed under the name uncultured bacterium. Its description in RNAcentral is "partial 16S ribosomal RNA". It matches the Rfam family "Bacterial small subunit ribosomal RNA", at positions 338 to 795 of the family's 1533-position model. The record is from RNAcentral.
CCUACGGGAGGCUGCAGUGGGGAAUAUUGCGCAAUGGGCGAAAGCCUGACGCAGCGACGCCGCGUGCGGGAUGAAGGUCUUCGGAUCAUAAACUUCUGUCAGCAGGGAAGAACGGUCACUGUGCUAAUCAGCAGUGAAUUGACGGUACCUGCAAAGGAAGCACCGGCUAACUCCGUGCCAGCAGCCGCGGUAAUACGGAGGGUGCGAGCGUUAAUCGGAAUUACUGGGCGUAAAGCGCUCGUAGGCGGUAUGUCAAGUCAAGGGUGAAAUCCCCGCGCUCAACGUGGGAACUGCCUUUGAAACUGGCAACCUGGAGUGUGUGAGAGGAUAGUGGAAUUCCAGGUGUAGGAGUGAAAUCCGUAGAUAUCUGGAGGAACAUCAGUGGCGAAGGCGGCUUACUGGACUGUAACUGACGUUGAGGCUCGAAAGCGUGGGGAGCAAACAGGAUUAGAUACCCCAGUAGUC